UAUAUUGCAAUCGAAUUGAUUUUCCUAGCUUGUUUUAUGUGCUUUUAGCAACUAGAGCUAAAAGCUUUUUCAGAUAAUCAAAAGUGUUUUAAGUGCAUUUGUAAGGAGUUGGGAGCUCGUUGUCGAGUUUUUACUUAGAAACUACUUGCAGCUCAAGACUUGGGAAAGUUUUGUGGUCUCGUAUUUUAAAGGGAGUUUUAAUGAAAAUGGCUUGGACUAACUUUUAUUUAAUGAAAAACCAUCAUAAACUAUUAUUUAAUAAAAAGGGCUUAAAUUUUAAUAAUAAGGACUUGAAAUUUAAUCAAAAAAGGACAAAAACUAAAUACUCUAAUGAAAAAACCAAGCCCAUGUGCAAAACCAAACUUUUUUUUACAGGCGCUACCCCUGACGGAAGCCCCAUUCCGUCAGUUAAUGCCACUACCUUACCCAUUAAACGCGAAAGUGAUGAUAGAGGAUACGAAAGCCAUUAGUAUACAUGCUGCAAAUCUACAUGUCAAAGCCCCACCAAUUUGAAAGCAAAAUCUUUGAAAAUCUUGCUUUCAACAAAUAUAAGCAGCAUGUAUAUAUGUAGCACCAAAUGUGAAGUACAAUGCCAUCUGUUCAGCAAAUUUUUUAGCUUUUGUUAUCAUGAAACAAACUUUUAAAGGAAAACUAAUGAAAAGAGCUUGAAAACUUUGAGUUUUAACGAUAAGGACAAAAUAAAGGGUAAAGUGAAUAGUAUCAGGAUUGACUUUUUAGUGUAAAAAUGUGGUUUUUCGUUAAAGUGAACAGUACCGGGAGCUUUUCGUUAAAGUUCCCAACUUUUAAUUGGUAUGCUCCAGUAAAUUAAUGCACAGUAAAUAAACGAUCGAAUAGACGCUUUGUGUUUUUGUUAAAAUUAGAUAGAGGAAAUCUAAAAAACAUCCCUUGGAUGCUUUUUGUACUCAAAUUCAAAUCUAAAAUCAUAACAAAACACCAAAAUUUUAUAAAAGAAAUCUAUUUCGAAAGAAAUCUAUAAAUAUGCUCUGAUUGGAAGUAUCAUGAAUUUUUUGAGGUAAAUUGUAUGAUAUAAUUGGUCUUUCAGAUUGAUCAUUAGUGGGGUUUUUUUUUUCAGAUCAAGAAAUAGUUCGGUUCUAGAAAACUUAGUUUUUGCACUACUUCUCUAUAAAAACCUGGUCAAUGUAUUGAAGAUCAAUUGUUACUUGUGGGACAUACGUUCCAUAUGGAGUAAUUAUGUUGUACCAACUGUUUGAAUUGAGUUAAUAUUUGUUUAGACAUAAGCUUUUAGGCUUUGAUUGGAUGAAGUAUUUGGGACCCAUAAGCUGAUGAGAGGUACUAAUCUCAUUUUCUUGUUAAUUACUUAUUUCAAAUUAAUGUUUGCAUGUUUGUGAUCCAUAAACUUAGUAAUGUUUAUAACUCACAUCAAUGUUUAUGAUUAUGUUUUUUUUUUUUUUUUUGGAAACUAGUUUAUGAUUAUGUUUGGAAGUCUCAUGCAAUUGCCUUGGAUCUAUCUCAUUAUAAAAUUGAACUCAUGCGUGUGUAUAGUGUUCCGUUUGAGAAAUAAUUAGUGUUUAGUUUACGAAACAGUGAUAAUACUAGUGUUCCGUUUGAUAAAUAGUCAAUAUUUAGUUUACGAAACAAUGAUAGUACAAUGUUCCGUUUGAGAAAUAAUCAGUGUUUAGUUUACGAAUAGUGAUAGUACUAGUGUUCCGUUUGAUAAAUGGUCAAUGUUUAGUUUACGAAAUAGUGAUAGUACUAGUCAGUGAUAGUACUAGUGUUCCGUUUGAUAAAUAAUCAGUGUUUAGUUUACGAAACAAUGAUAGUACUAGUGUUCCGUUUCAUAAAUAGUCAGUGUUUCGUUUACGAAACAGUGAUAGUACUAUUGUUCGUUUGAUAAAUAGUCAUUGUUUAGUUUACGAAACAGUGAUAGUACUAGUGUUCCGUUUAAGAAAUAGUCAGUGUUUAGUUUACGAAACAGUGAUAUUAAUAGUGUUCCGUUUAAUAAAUAGUCAGUGUUUAGUUUACAAAACAGUGAUAGUACUAAUGUUCGUUUGAUAAAUAGUCAAUGUUUAGUUUACGAAACAGUGAUAGUACUAGUGUUCGUUUGAUAAAUAGUCAGUGUUUAGUUUACUAAACAAUGAUAGUACUAGUGUUCCAUUUAAUAAAUAGUCAGUGUUUAGUUUACGAAACAGUGAUAGUACUAAUGUUCGUUUGAUAAAUAGUCAUUGUUUAGUUUACGAAACAGUGAUAGUACUAGUGUUCGUUUGAUAAAUAGUCAGUGUUUAGUUUACUAAACAAUGAUAGUACUAGUGUUCUGUUUAAGAAAUAGUUAGUAUUUAGUUUACGAAACAGUGAUAGUACUAGUGUUCUGUUUAAUAAAUAAAUAGUCAGUGUUUAGUUUAUAAAACAGUGAUAGUACUAGUGUUUAGUUUAAGAAAUAGUCAGUGUUUAGUUUACGAAACAGUGAUAGUGCUAGUGUUCUGUUUAAGAAAUAGUUAGUGUUUAGUUUACGAAACAAUGAUAGUACUAGUGUUCGUUUGAUAAAUAGUCAAUAUUUAGUUUACGAAACAGUGAUAGUACUAGUGUUCCGUUUAAGAAAUAGUCAGUGUUUAGUUUGCGAAACAGUGAUAGUACUAGUGUUCCGUUUAAUAAAUAGUCCAUGUUUAGUUUACAAAACAGUGAUAGUGCUAGUGUUUAGUUUAAGAAAUAGUCAGUGUUUAGUUUACGAAACAAUGAUAGUGCUAGUGUUUUGUUUAAGAAAUAGUAAGGCCAUCUCCAACCGAAGGGUCCAGAGGGUCAGAGGGCCGAAAAUAGCCCUAAAACCGUCUCCAACCG
This 2814-nucleotide long non-coding RNA is filed under the name Malus domestica (apple). RNAcentral describes it as "long non-coding RNA (MDOM_LNC007314)". The record is from RNAcentral. Lineage: Eukaryota; Viridiplantae; Streptophyta; Magnoliopsida; Rosales; Rosaceae.